RNAcentral lists this ribosomal RNA (486 nucleotides) under uncultured bacterium. RNAcentral describes it as "partial 16S ribosomal RNA". It matches the Rfam family "Bacterial small subunit ribosomal RNA", at positions 28 to 503 of the family's 1533-position model. The record is from RNAcentral.
GAUGAACGCUAGCGGCAGGCCUAAUACAUGCAAGUCGAACGGGAUCCAGAUCAAAGCUUGCUUUGGUCUGGUGAGAGUGGCGCACGGGUGCGUAACGCGUGAGCAACCUACCCUUGUCAGGGGGAUAGCCCGGCGAAAGUCGGAUUAAUACCGCAUGACAUCAUUGAGAGGCAUCUUUCGAUGAUCAAAGAUUUAUCGGACAAGGAUGGGCUCGCGUGACAUUAGCUCGUUGGUAAGGUAACGGCUUACCAAGGCUGCGAUGUCUAGGGGCUCUGAGAGGAGAAUCCCCCACACUGGUACUGGGACACGGACCAGACUCCUACGGGAGGCAGCAGUAAGGAAUAUUGGUCAAUGGACGGAAGUCUGAACCAGCCAUGCCGCGUGCAGGAGGACGGCCCUAUGGGUUGUAAACUGCUUUUAUACGGGAACAAACGUCGGUACGUGUACCGGUCUGAGUGUACCGUAAGAAUAAGGAUCGGCUAACUC